Molecule: ribosomal RNA, 745 nt
Filed under: uncultured Staphylococcus sp.
Lineage: Bacteria; Bacillati; Bacillota; Bacilli; Caryophanales; Staphylococcaceae
Description: bacterial SSU rRNA
Rfam family: Bacterial small subunit ribosomal RNA
Source: RNAcentral
GUGCCUAAUACAUGCAAGUCGAGCGAACAGACGAGGAGCUUGCUCCUCUGACGUUAGCGGCGGACGGGUGAGUAACACGUGGAUAACCUACCUAUAAGACUGGGAUAACUUCGGGAAACCGGAGCUAAUACCGGAUAAUAUAUUGAACCGCAUGGUUCAAUAGUGAAAGACGGUUUUGCUGUCACUUAUAGAUGGAUCCGCGCCGCAUUAGCUAGUUGGUAAGGUAACGGCUUACCAAGGCAACGAUGCGUAGCCGACCUGAGAGGGUGAUCGGCCACACUGGAACUGAGACACGGUCCAGACUCCUACGGGAGGCAGCAGUAGGGAAUCUUCCGCAAUGGGCGAAAGCCUGACGGAGCAACGCCGCGUGAGUGAUGAAGGUCUUCGGAUCGUAAAACUCUGUUAUUAGGGAAGAACAAAUGUGUAAGUAACUAUGCACGUCUUGACGGUACCUAAUCAGAAAGCCACGGCUAACUACGUGCCAGCAGCCGCGGUAAUACGUAGGUGGCAAGCGUUAUCCGGAAUUAUUGGGCGUAAAGCGCGCGUAGGCGGUUUUUUAAGUCUGAUGUGAAAGCCCACGGCUCAACCGUGGAGGGUCAUUGGAAACUGGAAAACUUGAGUGCAGAAGAGGAAAGUGGAAUUCCAUGUGUAGCGGUGAAAUGCGCAGAGAUAUGGAGGAACACCAGUGGCGAAGGCGACUUUCUGGUCUGUAACUGACGCUGAUGUGCGAAAGCGUGGGGAUCAA